This 3003-nucleotide ribosomal RNA is filed under the name Salmonella sp. NCTC 7297. Its description in RNAcentral is "23S ribosomal RNA". It matches the Rfam family "Bacterial large subunit ribosomal RNA". The record is from RNAcentral. Lineage: Bacteria; Pseudomonadati; Pseudomonadota; Gammaproteobacteria; Enterobacterales; Enterobacteriaceae.
UUAAGCGACCAAGCGUACACGGUGGAUGCCCUGGCAGUCAGAGGCGAUGAAGGACGUGCUAAUCUGCGAAAAGCGCCGGUAAGGUGAUAUGAACCGUUAUAACCGGCGAUGUCCGAAUGGGGAAACCCAGUGUGACUCGUCACACUAUCAUUAACUGAAUCCAUAGGUUAAUGAGGCGAACCGGGGGAACUGAAACAUCUAAGUACCCCGAGGAAAAGAAAUCAACCGAGAUUCCCCCAGUAGCGGCGAGCGAACGGGGAGGAGCCCAGAGCCUGAAUCAGCAUGUGUGUUAGUGGAAGCGUCUGGAAAGGCGCGCGAUACAGGGUGAGAGCCCCGUACACAAAAGCGCACGUGCUGUGAGCUCGAUGAGUAGGGCGGGACACGUGGUAUCCUGUCUGAAUAUGGGGGGACCAUCCUCCAAGGCUAAAUACUCCUGACUGACCGAUAGUGAACCAGUACCGUGAGGGAAAGGCGAAAAGAACCCCGGCGAGGGGAGUGAAACAGAACCUGAAACCGUGUACGUACAAGCAGUGGGAGCCCCACCACUAAGCCAGUGGUGAACUCCACAUACGCAUCCUUUGCUGAGGAUACGGUUAACGGAGCGAAAGCGACGUUCAGCCGCAAAAGAAGCAGAGGGGGCUUAGUGGUGGGGUGACUGCGUACCUUUUGUAUAAUGGGUCAGCGACUUAUAUUCUGUAGCAAGGUUAACCGCAUAGGGGAGCCGGAGGGAAACCGAGUCUUAACCGGGCGUUAAGUUGCAGGGUAUAGACCCGAAACCCGGUGAUCUAGCCAUGGGCAGGUUGAAGGUUGGGUAACACUAACUGGAGGACCGAACCGACUAAUGUUGAAAAAUUAGCGGAUGACCUGUGGCUGGGGGUGAAAGGCCAAUCAAACCGGGAGAUAGCUGGUUCUCCCCGAAAGCUAUUUAGGUAGCGCCUCGUGAAUUCAUCUCCGGGGGUAGAGCACUGUUUCGGCCAGGGGCCAUCCCGGCUUACCAAUCCGAUGCAAACUGCGAAUACCGGAGAAUGUUAUCACGGGAGACACACGGCGGGUGCUAACGUCCGUCGUGAAGAGGGAAACAACCCAGACCGCCAGCUAAGGUCCCAAAGUCAUGGUUAAGUGGGAAACGAUGUGGGAAGGCCCAGACAGCCAGGAUGUUGGCUUAGAAGCAGCCAUCAUUUAAAGAAAGCGUAAUAGCUCACUGGUCGAGUCGGCCUGCGCGGAAGAUGUAACGGGGCUAAACCAUGCACCGAAGCUGCGGCAGCGACACUGAUGUGUUGUUGGGUAGGGGAGCGUUCUGUAAGCCGUUGAAGGUGGCCUGUGAGGGUUGCUGGAGGUAUCAGAAGUGCGAAUGCUGACAUAAGUAACGAUAAAGCGGGUGAAAAGCCCGCUCGCCGGAAGACCAAGGGUUCCUGUCCAACGUUAAUCGGGGCAGGGUGAGUCGACCCCUAAGGCGAGGCCGAAAGGCGUAGUCGAUGGGAAACGGGUUAAUAUUCCCGUACUUGGUGUUACUGCGAAGGGGGGACGGAGAAGGCUAUGUUGGCCGGGCGACGGUUGUCCCGGUUUAAGCGUGUAGGUGUGUGUUCCAGGUAAAUCCGGUUCACUUUAACACUGAGGCGUGACGACGAGGCACUACGGUGCUGAAGCAACAAAUGCCCUGCUUCCAGGAAAAGCCUCUAAGCCUCAGGUAACAUCAAAUCGUACCCCAAACCGACACAGGUGGUCAGGUAGAGAAUACCAAGGCGCUUGAGAGAACUCGGGUGAAGGAACUAGGCAAAAUGGUGCCGUAACUUCGGGAGAAGGCACGCUGACACGUAGGUGAAGUGGUUUACCCAUGGAGCUGAAGUCAGUCGAAGAUACCAGCUGGCUGCAACUGUUUAUUAAAAACACAGCACUGUGCAAACACGAAAGUGGACGUAUACGGUGUGACGCCUGCCCGGUGCCGGAAGGUUAAUUGAUGGGGUCAGCGCAAGCGAAGCUCCUGAUCGAAGCCCCGGUAAACGGCGGCCGUAACUAUAACGGUCCUAAGGUAGCGAAAUUCCUUGUCGGGUAAGUUCCGACCUGCACGAAUGGCGUAAUGAUGGCCAGGCUGUCUCCACCCGGGACUCAGUGAAAUUGAACUCGCUGUGAAGAUGCAGUGUACCCGCGGCAAGACGGAAAGACCCCGUGAACCUUUACUAUAGCUUGACACUGAACACUGGUCCUUGAUGUGCAGGAUAGGUGGGAGGCUUUGAAGUGUGGACGCCAGUCUGCAUGGAGCCAUCCUUGAAAUACCACCCUUUAAUGGCUGGUGUUCUAACGUGGACCCGUAAUCCGGGUUGCGGACAGUGUCUGGUGGGUAGUUUGACUGGGGCGGUCUCCUCCUAAAGAGUAACGGAGGAGCACGAAGUUGGCUAAUCCUGGUCGGACAUCAGGAGGUUAGUGCAAUGGCAUAAGCCAGCUUGACUGCGAGCGUGACGGCGCGAGCAGGUGCGAAAGCAGGUCAUAGUGAUCCGGUGGUUCUGAAUGGAAGGGCCAUCGCUCAACGGAUAAAAGGUACUCCGGGGAUAACAGGCUGAUACCGCCCAAGAGUUCAUAUCGACGGCGGUGUUUGGCACCUCGAUGUCGGCUCAUCACAUCCUGGGGCUGAAGUAGGUCCCAAGGGUAUGGCUGUUCGCCAUUUAAAGUGGUACGCGAGCUGGGUUUAGAACGUCGUGAGACAGUUCGGUCCCUAUCUGCCGUGGGCGCUGGAAGAUUGAGGGAGGCUGCUCCUAGUACGAGAGGACCGGAGUGGACGCAUCACUGGUGUUCGGGUUGUCAUGCCAAUGGCACUGCCCGGUAGCUACAUGCGGAAGAGAUAAGUGCUGAAAGCAUCUAAGCACGAAACUUGCCCCGAGAUGAAUCUUCCCUGAGCCUUUAAGGCUCCUGAAGGAACGUUGAAGACGACGACGUUGAUAGGCCGGGUGUGUAAGCGCAGCGAUGCGUUGAGCUAACCGGUACUAAUGAACCGUGAGGCUUAACCUU